GGGUUGUGAGGUUAAGCGACUAAGCGUACACGGUGGAUGCCCUGGCAGUCAGAGGCGAUGAAGGACGUGCUAAUCUGCGAUAAGCGUCGGUAAGGUGAUAUGAACCGUUAUAACCGGCGAUUUCCGAAUGGGGAAACCCAGUGUGAUUCGUCACACUAUCAUUAACUGAAUCCAUAGGUUAAUGAGGCGAACCGGGGGAACUGAAACAUCUAAGUACCCCGAGGAAAAGAAAUCAACCGAGAUUCCCCCAGUAGCGGCGAGCGAACGGGGAGCAGCCCAGAGCCUGAAUCAGUGUGUGUGUUAGUGGAAGCGUCUGGAAAGGCGCGCGAUACAGGGUGACAGCCCCGUACACAAAAAUGCACAUGCUGUGAGCUCGAUGAGUAGGGCGGGACACGUGGUAUCCUGUCUGAAUAUGGGGGGACCAUCCUCCAAGGCUAAAUACUCCUGACUGACCGAUAGUGAACCAGUACCGUGAGGGAAAGGCGAAAAGAACCCCGGCGAGGGGAGUGAAAAAGAACCUGAAACCGUGUACGUACAAGCAGUGGGAGCACGCUUAGGCGUGUGACUGCGUACCUUUUGUAUAAUGGGUCAGCGACUUAUAUUCUGUAGCAAGGUUAACCGAAUAGGGGAGCCGAAGGGAAACCGAGUCUUAACUGGGCGUUAAGUUGCAGGGUAUAGACCCGAAACCCGGUGAUCUAGCCAUGGGCAGGUUGAAGGUUGGGUAACACUAACUGGAGGACCGAACCGACUAAUGUUGAAAAAUUAGCGGAUGACUUGUGGCUGGGGGUGAAAGGCCAAUCAAACCGGGAGAUAGCUGGUUCUCCCCGAAAGCUAUUUAGGUAGCGCCUCGUGAAUUCAUCUCCGGGGGUAGAGCACUGUUUCGGCAAGGGGGUCAUCCCGACUUACCAACCCGAUGCAAACUGCGAAUACCGGAGAAUGUUAUCACGGGAGACACACGGCGGGUGCUAACGUCCGUCGUGAAGAGGGAAACAACCCAGACCGCCAGCUAAGGUCCCAAAGUCAUGGUUAAGUGGGAAACGAUGUGGGAAGGCCCAGACAGCCAGGAUGUUGGCUUAGAAGCAGCCAUCAUUUAAAGAAAGCGUAAUAGCUCACUGGUCGAGUCGGCCUGCGCGGAAGAUGUAACGGGGCUAAACCAUGCACCGAAGCUGCGGCAGCGACGCUUAUGCGUUGUUGGGUAGGGGAGCGUUCUGUAAGCCUGUGAAGGUGUGCUGUGAGGCAUGCUGGAGGUAUCAGAAGUGCGAAUGCUGACAUAAGUAACGAUAAAGCGGGUGAAAAGCCCGCUCGCCGGAAGACCAAGGGUUCCUGUCCAACGUUAAUCGGGGCAGGGUGAGUCGACCCCUAAGGCGAGGCCGAAAGGCGUAGUCGAUGGGAAACAGGUUAAUAUUCCUGUACUUGGUGUUACUGCGAAGGGGGGACGGAGAAGGCUAUGUUGGCCGGGCGACGGUUGUCCCGGUUUAAGCGUGUAGGCUGGUUUUCCAGGCAAAUCCGGAAAAUCAAGGCUGAGGCGUGAUGACGAGGCACUACGGUGCUGAAGCAACAAAUGCCCUGCUUCCAGGAAAAGCCUCUAAGCAUCAGGUAACAUCAAAUCGUACCCCAAACCGACACAGGUGGUCAGGUAGAGAAUACCAAGGCGCUUGAGAGAACUCGGGUGAAGGAACUAGGCAAAAUGGUGCCGUAACUUCGGGAGAAGGCACGCUGAUAUGUAGGUGAAGUCCCUCGCGGAUGGAGCUGAAAUCAGUCGAAGAUACCAGCUGGCUGCAACUGUUUAUUAAAAACACAGCACUGUGCAAACACGAAAGUGGACGUAUACGGUGUGACGCCUGCCCGGUGCCGGAAGGUUAAUUGAUGGGGUCAGCGCAAGCGAAGCUCUUGAUCGAAGCCCCGGUAAACGGCGGCCGUAACUAUAACGGUCCUAAGGUAGCGAAAUUCCUUGUCGGGUAAGUUCCGACCUGCACGAAUGGCGUAAUGAUGGCCAGGCUGUCUCCACCCGAGACUCAGUGAAAUUGAACUCGCUGUGAAGAUGCAGUGUACCCGCGGCAAGACGGAAAGACCCCGUGAACCUUUACUAUAGCUUGACACUGAACAUUGAGCCUUGAUGUGUAGGAUAGGUGGGAGGCUUAGAAGUGUGGACGCCAGUCUGCAUGGAGCCGACCUUGAAAUACCACCCUUUAAUGUUUGAUGUUCUAACGUUGACCCGUAAUCCGGGUUGCGGACAGUGUCUGGUGGGUAGUUUGACUGGGGCGGUCUCCUCCUAAAGAGUAACGGAGGAGCACGAAGGUUGGCUAAUCCUGGUCGGACAUCAGGAGGUUAGUGCAAUGGCAUAAGCCAGCUUGACUGCGAGCGUGACGGCGCGAGCAGGUGCGAAAGCAGGUCAUAGUGAUCCGGUGGUUCUGAAUGGAAGGGCCAUCGCUCAACGGAUAAAAGGUACUCCGGGGAUAACAGGCUGAUACCGCCCAAGAGUUCAUAUCGACGGCGGUGUUUGGCACCUCGAUGUCGGCUCAUCACAUCCUGGGGCUGAAGUAGGUCCCAAGGGUAUGGCUGUUCGCCAUUUAAAGUGGUACGCGAGCUGGGUUUAGAACGUCGUGAGACAGUUCGGUCCCUAUCUGCCGUGGGCGCUGGAGAACUGAGGGGGGCUGCUCCUAGUACGAGAGGACCGGAGUGGACGCAUCACUGGUGUUCGGGUUGUCAUGCCAAUGGCACUGCCCGGUAGCUAAAUGCGGAAGAGAUAAGUGCUGAAAGCAUCUAAGCACGAAACUUGCCCCGAGAUGAGUUCUCCCUGAC
RNAcentral lists this ribosomal RNA (2802 nucleotides) under Escherichia coli. Its description in RNAcentral is "bacterial LSU rRNA". It matches the Rfam family "Bacterial large subunit ribosomal RNA". Lineage: Bacteria; Pseudomonadati; Pseudomonadota; Gammaproteobacteria; Enterobacterales; Enterobacteriaceae. The record is from RNAcentral.